GUACACUCCUGCGGGAGGCAGCAGUGGGGAAUUUUGAACAAUGGGCGAAAGCCUGAUCCAGCAAUGCCGCGUGUGUGAAGAAGGCCUUCGGGUUGUAAAGCACUUUUGUCCGGAAAGAAAUCCUUGGCUCUAAUACAGUCGAGGGAUGACGGUACCGGAAGAAUAAGCACCGGCUAACUACGUGCCAGCAGCCGCGGUAAUACGUAGGGUGCGAGCGUUAAUCGGAAUUACUGGGCGUAAAGCGUGCGCAGGCGGUUUGCUAAGACCGAUGUGAAAUCCCCGGGCUCAACCUGGGAACUGCAUUGGUGACUGGCAGGAUAGAGUAUGGCAGAGGGGGGUAGAAUUCCACGUGUAGCAGUGAAAUGCGUAGAGAUGUGGAGGAAUACCGAUGGCGAAGGCAGCCCCCUGGGCCAAUACUGACGCUCAUGCACGAAAGCGUGGGGAGCAAACAGGAUUAGAUACCCCGGUAGUCCCAUG
RNAcentral lists this ribosomal RNA (477 nucleotides) under uncultured organism. RNAcentral's name for it is "partial 16S ribosomal RNA". It matches the Rfam family "Bacterial small subunit ribosomal RNA", at positions 331 to 799 of the family's 1533-position model. The record is from RNAcentral.